Fusarium culmorum is the source of this 122-nucleotide non-coding RNA. Lineage: Eukaryota; Fungi; Ascomycota; Sordariomycetes; Hypocreales; Nectriaceae. The record is from the annotation of a GenBank genome assembly.
GGGCGAUUGGUUUAACGGUAAAACAUCAUAGAACCUUGUGGUUAUGGGACUCCCCGUAAACCCAUAUUAAUAACACUUGUCUUCAAUUGUGAAAGCUCUAGGUUCGAAUCUUAGGUUGUCCA